GGGCCCGUAGCUCAGGCGGUUAGAGCAGCUGACUCAUAAUCAGACGGUCGCGGGUUCAAUUCCUGCCGGGCCCACUA
Molecule: transfer RNA, 77 nt
Filed under: Bacteroidota bacterium
Lineage: Bacteria; Pseudomonadati; Bacteroidota
Description: Bacteroidetes bacterium (sediment metagenome) tRNA-Met
Rfam family: tRNA
About the family: Transfer RNA (tRNA) molecules are approximately 80 nucleotides in length. Their secondary structure includes four short double-helical elements and three loops (D, anti-codon, and T loops). Further hydrogen bonds mediate the characteristic L-shaped molecular structure. tRNAs have two regions of fundamental functional importance: the anti-codon, which is responsible for specific mRNA codon recognition, and the 3' end, to which the tRNAs corresponding amino acid is attached (by aminoacyl-tRNA synthetases). tRNAs cope with the degeneracy of the genetic code in two manners: having more than one tRNA (with a specific anti-codon) for a particular amino acid; and 'wobble' base-pairing, i.e. permitting non-standard base-pairing at the 3rd anti-codon position.
Source: RNAcentral